UGCAUUCAAAGUCCAUGUUUUUUUGAUUAAAACUUUCCAUAACAAUUUCAAAUUCCAUCAAACAUCCAUUCAACCUUGCAUUAUUACAUUCAACCAUUCAUUGCAAUUCAUUAACUUUCCAUAAAAAUCCAUUUUUCAAUUCAUUACAAACUAAUCCAUGUUUAUGUUUCCGAUUCAUGAUUUAUUCCCAUUUAAGUUACAAACUUCAAUACAAAAUUACAGAUUUUCAAACUAAUUUCCAAUCAUAAGCUACAUGAAGCAAAUCUCAAAAACUACAAUGACCCAUCCCAAAUUAGUGCUUUCACACAUCACUAAUUAACUUAAACCCUUGAGCAUAAGAUACCAAAGAUCACUUGAUUAACAUAAUGUACUAAGUUUAAUUUGAAGCAGCCUAGUCCUAUUAACUUAAUUACAGUAGCAGCUCUAAGAAUCUGAAGAGAUAACAGGGCCUUGCAUAAGCCUUCCCAUCAUCCUGCAGAAUUAACACAACAAGAUCAGUAAUUAACAUACAUCAACAUAACUAACUUUUGAUUCAAUUUCCAAACCAAUAUCUAGACCAACCAUAACUAACAUGAUCUAGCAGUAGGGUAUUUCAACAUAACUAACAUAGAACCCUGCAUAAUUUAGAGCUAAACAUUACACAAGGUUUCAUGUAAUAACAAUUGGGAAGUCCAUAGUAAUUAGCAAAGCACGACAACACAGAGAAUAAAAAACUCACUAACUGAAUUUCAACUUGUUAACAAAUUUUAAUUUUUAACAAACUAAUGAAUUUCGUUUGUGUGCUCGCCUUUGAAUCUUGAUUUGAGAAGGUGAGAAGAAGAGAGUGUGUGGAGACGUCGAACAAGCUUGCUGAAGUGUUGUUGGUUGCACGAUUCGACCUGGAUUUGGUAUGGAUGCAUAGACCAAAACCUGAACUCAGUUUUUGAACCGCUUGCUUUGUUUGAGGUCUGACUCUAUUUGGGCCUAAGGCCCAAACAAACCCUCCCA
Molecule: long non-coding RNA, 987 nt
Filed under: Lathyrus oleraceus (garden pea)
Lineage: Eukaryota; Viridiplantae; Streptophyta; Magnoliopsida; Fabales; Fabaceae
Description: Pisum sativum (pea) long non-coding RNA (PSAT_LNC011058)
Source: RNAcentral